Molecule: long non-coding RNA, 602 nt
Filed under: Prunus persica (peach)
Lineage: Eukaryota; Viridiplantae; Streptophyta; Magnoliopsida; Rosales; Rosaceae
Description: long non-coding RNA (PPER_LNC000690)
Source: RNAcentral
UUUAACGGUUAUUUUAACUCCGAUUUUGAUGAUUUUUUUACAGCUACAUUCCUUGACCAUAUAUGAAUACAAUGACUGAAUUUGAUCUUCAAUUUAAAAUAUUUACACUAGUGGAUACCACAAAAUCUUAUGUUAUAUUUAACGAAAGUAUAAAAAAAACUCUUAAUUGUUAGUGAAUAUAUUAUUUUGAUGGCAUACACAUUCUACGAAACUAGUUUCAACGAUCCAACCGGCAAAUUUGUUUGUUUAUACUUCGAGAUCAUAUAUGCCAAAAAUCGGAAAAAAUAAACAUUCAGAGAUCAAGUAACGGGACAAAACUUUUUUACGGUUAUAAAUGAAAAAUCAUGAUUUAAUGGUUAUUUUAACUCCGAUUUUGAUGAUUUUUUACAACUACACUCCUUGACCCUAUAUGAAUACAAUGACUGAAUUUGAUCUUCAAUAUAAAAUAUUUACACUAGUGGAUACCACAAAAUCUUAUGUUAUAUUUAACGAACAUAUAAAUAAACUCUUAAUUGUUAGUGAAUAUAUUAUUUUGAUGGCAUAUGCAUUCACCAAAACUAGUUUCAACGAUCCAACCGUCAAACUUGUUUGUUUAUACUUCG